GGGAACCAGAGAAGGUAUAUUAUAUGCCUUGGAGGAGAAAAUAAUCAUAGAUGUCGCCAACACAAACAGAGAUCUUUUACGUGAUGGUGGUAGUGACCCUCCUUCAAUGAGUGCAAUAUUUCUCAAUGAAAAUGCAAGCUGAAAACUUUGCACUAGAGCUUCACGGUAUGAGUUCUUUGCUCUAGAAAAUAGCAAGACCAAGCUAAAUGUGUG
This 213-nucleotide unclassified non-coding RNA is filed under the name Hevea brasiliensis (rubber tree). Lineage: Eukaryota; Viridiplantae; Streptophyta; Magnoliopsida; Malpighiales; Euphorbiaceae. The record is from RNAcentral.